CUCUGAGACAGGUGCUGCAUGGCUGUCGUCAGCUCGUGUUGUGAAAUGUUGGAUUAAGUCCCGCAACGAGCGCAACCCUUAUCCUUUGUUGCCAGCACGUAAUGGUGGGAACUCAAAGGAGACUGCCGGUGAUAAACCGGAGGAAGGUGGGGAUGACGUCAAGUCAUCAUGGCCCUUACGAGUAGGGCUACACACGUGCUACAAUGGCGUAUACAAAGAGAAGCGAACUCGCGAGAGCAAGCGGACCUCAUAAAGUACGUCGUAGUCCGGAUCGGAGUCUGCAACUCGACUCCGCGAAGUCGGAAUCGCUAGUAAUCGUAGAUCAGAAUGCUACGGUGAAUACGUUCCCGGGCCUUGUACACACCGCCCGUCACACCAUGGGAGUGGGUUGCAAAAGAAGUAGGUAGCUUAACCUUCGGGAGGGCGCUUACCACUUUGUGAUUCAUGACUGGGGUG
Molecule: ribosomal RNA, 456 nt
Filed under: uncultured bacterium
Lineage: Bacteria
Description: bacterial SSU rRNA
Rfam family: Bacterial small subunit ribosomal RNA
Source: RNAcentral